UUUGUUUUGGUCCGUUCUCCCUCGUUUCAAGUCGGAUUUUAGAUCCGUUUUUGCCUACGAACUCGUAUCGAGACGAACUUUGAUUCUUCUUCAGACCAUUCAACUAAAUUCUGACUUUACUUUUGUUCACAUAUCAAUCAAUGUGAGCACAAAAUCCUGAGACAACAAAAUUAGCACAAAAGCUCAAAUCAUUCAACUCUUAAGUGAAAGAGACCAAAAUAAAAGUCAAUAUAACACGUAAACACCCAGAGAUUCAUCACAAAAUAGGGCUAAACAACCUCCCCACACUUGAUCCUUUGCUUGUCCUCAAGCAAAGUCACGACACCAAAAGAUAGUUCACAAGAAAACUUCCUCACCAUUCACAUCUCCAACCAAUCUAAGUCUCUUAGCCAUUCACAUUCCUCACGAGAUGUUCAUUGUUAAGAUUUUAAGAAGCAACAACCACAUGAUACAAUUCAAUCCGAUCAGACCCAAUUCUCCGCUAGAGGUGAAUUCCCUAAUGUGAUUGCCUUUAUAAUCAAAUCCCAUUUUCCUUGAAGAUGAUAAACAAUCAAACCAAAAAAAAUUUAUACAUCUUUCUUUUAAAGGUGAUGUUAUUCCAUUCUCAAUAGAUGGGCCAACUUUCGUGAGAUCAACACU
RNAcentral lists this long non-coding RNA (639 nucleotides) under Salvia miltiorrhiza (redroot sage). RNAcentral's name for it is "long non-coding RNA (SMIL_LNC012394)". The record is from RNAcentral. Lineage: Eukaryota; Viridiplantae; Streptophyta; Magnoliopsida; Lamiales; Lamiaceae.